Brassica oleracea var. oleracea is the source of this 375-nucleotide long non-coding RNA. RefSeq lists it as uncharacterized. NCBI's taxonomy places the organism in Eukaryota, Viridiplantae, Streptophyta, Magnoliopsida, Brassicales, Brassicaceae. The transcript has 2 exons. The record is from RefSeq and is a predicted model, not a curated record.
GGCCUUAUCGCCGAAACCCUAGCUAUAUAAGAUUGAGUGGAGCGCUCGACGAACAACACAGCGGAGGAGAAUCUGACUUUCGGCGACUUGACGAUGAGGGCGAAGUGGAAGAAGAAGCGCAUGAGGAGACUGAAGAGGAAGCGCAGGAAGAUGAGACAGCGAUCCAAGUAGUCUCUGUGUCUCCAUGCCUAUCCAUAAAUCUCUGAACCUUUAUGUUUUGUGGUUUUUACGUUUGAGUUGGAACAAUCGUUUGUAGAACAUGUUUCGAUCACUCCCUUUUAUUUAUCUACACGGAGCAGAGAUUUAUCUUAUUUUUUUUUGGAUCUGUUUAUUUGAGGGCUUGUGAGUGCAAGUAACGGUUUUCUAGAGGCUUGA